ACAAGAUGGUUGAGUUAUAAACGAUAAACUGUAAAUUUAUUUACGAGCAAGUGCUCUCUUGU
This 62-nucleotide transfer RNA is filed under the name Ozobranchus jantseanus. RNAcentral's name for it is "tRNA-Tyr". Lineage: Eukaryota; Metazoa; Annelida; Clitellata; Hirudinida; Ozobranchidae. The record is from RNAcentral.